CCAUGUGGUAGGGAUCAUCUCAGGCAUUUGUCAUAUAUGUAAUUAUAACUGUCUUUAGCUUAUUGAGUCAGCUUUUAGGAUUCUGACAGUCUGAUUUCUGUAGCUUAGAAGGUGCUCUUUCAGAUGGUACACUCUUAAAUUGCAAAUUUAGAACAGGCCAUAGUUUUUUAUUUUCGGGAAAAGACCAUGGGCUGUAGCUAUAUACAGACCACGGUAUUUUGUUAAAACAGGCUGCCCAAUUGAUUUUAACACAUCAUCUAAAAGUGACAUAUUUUUGCGUGUAUUAAUUUCUGCUAUUUCUGCGAAUGAGAGUAAAAUCGCAAAAAUUAAUACUCGCAAAUAAUUGGCCGCCCUCUUGUUUAAUGUAUCCAGAUCGACAUUUCGCAAAAUAUUAUACCGUAAAAUGUACAAAACUGUAAAAACGCAAACAAAUCUACCUGUGAAAAUAUGUCACCUUAACCCUUUCCCCGCUUUAGCCGACUAUAGUCGGCAUGGCUACUGAUAAAUUUCAAAAAAUCGUUGUGCACGCUGUGUUGGAGCUAUGCGCACGCUGCAGGUACCAGCACAUGCGCAUUGAGCUGCUCUUCCACGUGGUAUUUUUAAUAUUUUGCUUGGAGGUACGGUUCGAUCAGAAUUGUCGAAAGAAAAGUGACCGUUUUAUAAUUGCUACAAGAUCUUCGUAGUACAACCUCAGGGAGGUUCUAGGGAAGCUAGAGAGUGAGAAUAUCGAUGCCUAUGGCCUUGUAGAGUGAGAGGACAGUGACUGGGAUCAUAGCUAGGUAGGAAGCUUCCUUUCAGAGGUCAAGCUAAAAAGAAAGAGCCUGAGAAUCCUGAGGAAGACGCACUUGAGGUGGACCAUCUUCCUGAACCUGGUGAAGAAAAUAUUUCCCGGGAAAAGGGCGUCUGCCGAUGAACCUCAAAUACAAGUUUCUGCAGAUCCUGAUUGAGUCCUGAGUCAGCCAUGUCACCGUGAGAACAUUCUGAACACUUAUAUCAUGUGUUCAGUCACUUCGUAACAUCACACAAUAUUGUUUGUGUACAUAAUUAUGAAUUUUUGUUAACAAUUGUUAUUUGUGGGGUGGUGGUUGGUUGCUAGGCAACAAUGAUGAUUCCAUGAAUGCGACAGGUCCGGUUCUACCUGUGGAACUUUGUUACAAGUGUUUUUAAUAUACGGUUCAUGAGUUAUAAAUUUUUUAAACAAAA
Long non-coding RNA from Halichondria panicea, 1203 nucleotides. RefSeq lists it as uncharacterized. The record is from RefSeq and is a predicted model, not a curated record. The transcript has 2 exons. NCBI's taxonomy places the organism in Eukaryota, Metazoa, Porifera, Demospongiae, Suberitida, Halichondriidae.